Molecule: long non-coding RNA, 6346 nt
Organism: Gallus gallus (chicken)
Lineage: Eukaryota; Metazoa; Chordata; Aves; Galliformes; Phasianidae
Source: Ensembl
CAAACAUCCUGCAGAAUCCUCCAGCAUUUCUCAACAGCCUUCCCUGCUCUCUUCCCCCCUGCCAGGUUGUGAGUACAACUCCAACAGCCCCCGGAUCCUUGGAGAGCUGCCCACAGAAGGCAGAGCAGAUGGUGUUUGCGGCAGUGGACGUUUCCUGUGCUGUUGUAACAGAACGGCCUGGUCUAGCCAGGAAGCAGAAGUGGAAGAUGCAGUCUGGUCUUGCUGAGGCUGCCUUGCUUUGCAGACCUGACCUGAGAUCCUGGAUCACAAAUGAUCUCUUGCUUUCUCAAGUAUCGGAUGUUUGUUUUUUUUUUCCCCCUUUUUUUCCUCCAUGUUCAACCCAUGAGCUGAAGAGCUGCCAUGCCUUGCUGCAGCCAGCAGCUUCUGUCACUGCAGCACUCACAGCAGCCUCCUGGGGCUCGGUGCCCGCAGAUGUGCUGUGUGAUGCAAUGUGAACUUCACAUCACCUUCACGGAAAGACUGAAACGCAUCUAAACUGGAGCUCACCCGGUGUCACUGCCUUAGGCUGAACAGAGCACUGCUACAUCUGUCCUAGCUGUGAACUUCCAGCCUGAAAAGCCUCACGGGUGGUGAAAUGGUGCCCUGACUGAGUGAGCUGUGGUGGGAGCUUUCAGCUGGUAUUGCUUCUGCACACCAAGAAGGGGCAGCUGCACAUCCAUCAGGCUUAGUGCUGUCAGACCAGGUUGAGAUUGCUGAGUGCUGCAGUGGAUGCAUUUGAGACAAAUCUCAGGUGAGGGAGAGAGGAAAUGCAUAUGGCCUCACUGCCUCCCUGGAGCCAGCACUGUGACUGCUCCCUGGAGAGCAGCUCCCUGACUGCAUCAGCUCCCCGAGCAGCUCUGCUCCUUCUCCUCCCAGCAGCCAGAAACUGCCUACGUCAGCUUUUACCUUCCGAUGGAAACCGGCUGAGCAACAGCAAUGGGGAGCGACCCAUGGGCACUACGUGCUGCUGCAAGCUCUGUCCCACACCCGGGCAAGCCUGGGGUAUGAACCUCUGUGCUUCAGGAGCUGCAUUCCCCUGCCAGCUCUGCAAGCCACCUGGUGCCAAAGGAUUGCAUCCGCGUGAUAAAUCCCAUUGCUGUUCUGCUCAGGAAGUAAUCUGGUGAACCAGGAAAGAGAACGUUGCUUGCUACCAGCCUUCUUUCCAAGCAAUUGCACAACACUGCUCCGGGGUUAGCAAACUGCAGACAUCUGGGAGCAAUCGAUGCUGUUUAGGCUCUGAGAAAGCACAAGAGAAAGUUAGAAGGAAGCAACUUGAAAGCUCAGCAUUGUUAAAAGCAGUCUGGAAACCCUGGAAAUCCACAAGAGGGUAAUGCCUACAAACAGCCCGGAGGCAGAAGGAAUGAGAAGGACGACGGGAACAGCAGCCUCCACAGGAGCCUUGGAAAUGGUUAAAGAUGUGGGGAGCCACAUCUUCUGUGACAACCUGCCCCCCCCCCAGCACCCCCAUAAAUGAGAAACCUCAUCAGCCUCGCGCUAUUAGUGCUACGCAGCAUUAAAGUCUCUCAUUUGGGAUAAACAUUCUCAUCUCCAGCAGAGCAUGAAUAACAUUAAAUGAGAUAGUUAAAAUGUUUCAGGCCAAUUAUAGCCCCGGUGUAAGUUGGGCAGAGUUGCACCAGGGAUUAAUUUGAUGCGGAGAGCUCUGCCUCCUGUUCCGAGCCGGGAUUCCAGUGCGGGUAAUUACAUCCUGCCUCUGCGCUUCCUCUGCAGUUUUAAUUGGGUUGAAUGGACCAAAUCCGCAGCAAGUGUAAAUCUAUGUAAUUGAGCUCUCUCUGGAGAGGAACCCUGCUGCUUUACACCCUCCAAUCUGGGCCAGCGCUCUUCCCUUCCUCCCUGCCGGGCUCCAGCUGCCCAAAGCUGGCUGCCACCCCACGAAGGGCUCCCAUUCUGCCCUUGGAUGAAAGUCAAUGCUUUCCCAAGCUGCCUUGGACAGCCCGGAGCCCAACCCCUGCAUUGGUGCAGGUGAGGCCCGCAGGGUCCCCGUCUGCUUUUGCGUGCGCUGUGCCUUCUGCUGGGAAACAGCCCCGUUAAGCGGCCUCCUCCCCAUCGCCUGUCCGUGUCCCAUCCCAGAUCCAGGCUCCAGCACACAGAGCAGGCAGCUGGACCGUCUCCCUCUCCCACUUCCCAACCCGCUGAGUAAAUCAGCAGUAAUGAGGGACAUUUGACCCUCUCUUUCCCCGAACAGCCUCGAGAAGCAUUUUUCUUCCAUGAGGUACUUAAGAAGCUUGAAGUGCUUUCCUCCUCCUGCUUCUAUUGUAGCUUUGCUUUCCUUGAUUUUGUUUGCUUGUUUGUUUUUCUCUCCUAGGAAAGGACAAGAUAUGGGACGCAAGGAACCUUCAGGAUGCCUUGGGAAUGGAGGGGAUGCAGCCAGUUUGGGUCCUGUCUCUUUUGGUCCAGCAGAAAACCGUGUGUGCGAUCAGAGCUGGGAAAGUGCUCCUGCUGGCUGUAAUUAGGGAUGUCAUUGCAAAGCAUUAUCUCACAGAGCUGGAGCCUAUACAGAGCCAUACGUCCUCCGUAGCCAAUUGUGCACGGAGGUGAUGGGAGAGGGAAGGGUGCUGGGAACGCUCUCCCUCACUCAUUUCCAGGACGUUCUGCUGCUGUGUGGUCCCUUUCCCUUCUCACAGAGCAAUGAUGAAAGCAGACAGCCAGCGAGACCCCGGGGAGCCGCGCAGUGCAGCCCAUGGCUUCUCUUCCAGCCAAGGCUGUGUGGAGCUGCGGGUCCUCACCCCCAGCUGGGCUCAGCCCACUCCUCCAUUUCCCGUUCGCUUUCUCCCAGAGCAUAUUUUCGGGACGUGGAGAUGUCCCAACCCUCCCUUCCUCCCCAGCGGUAGCGCAUCUCGGAGGGGCCACGAGGGCCGUCGCUGCCGGUCCUGCUCUUCUCGUAAAGCACAGCGAGCUUCUGGCCAGCAGCAGCCAUGCAAUUUCAGAGAUUGAGCAAAUUCCCCCUCCCACCCACUGAGGACCUCCCGGGACCGGCGCACAUCCCACCACAGGCAGCAGCCACCUCGGCCAGCCGCCCAUUGCUGCAACGGCUUGAGUCAAUUGAGACCAUUUCUCAUGCAACCCAUCCAUACCGGAGGUCCCCAGGAGGAGGGUUGGCUCAGGAAAACCUUCAGCCCCAAACCCAGCACUCCCCCAUGCAGCUGACGGAGCACAGCUCACAGCGCAGUGACCCGAAGCGCCGCGCCGUCUGUGCCACGUCCAGCUGGCCCUUCCGCUUUGCUGGCGUGCUCCUUCCUGCUUUUAUUUUGGCUCUUUUUUGUGUGGGUUUUUUUCUUUUUUUUGGCUACGUAUGCGUGCAAGUCCAGAUGGGAGGAAAGGUCAGACUUGCUGAUGGUAAGGCCCAGGCUGAAAUCUGGGUUUGCCCUAAACCCGGGAUGGCUGUGGCUGGAUGAGCCCUGCUGGUGGGCUCAGCCAUCUGCCAGGAGAGCUGCGCCGGGCUCUGCGCUCACACGUUGGGGCUGUUGGAGCUCUGGCUCAUCUCCAUCCCGGUUCUGUCCUUGCCCACAUGCAGCUCCGCUCAUCACUGCCCACCCAAACACGCUCGGCCUCCUCUCGCUCAGCUCCUGACCUUUAUUCUCCCUUAAAUCAAUACGCAGAGCCGUGCUGCAGCAGUACCAGCACCUCCGGGGAGCCCAGGUGAUGUAUAGCAUCCAAGGAGCUGCUUCUGCUUUUGAGGCUCCCAUCCAGAUAAGCUUUUGUCUUUCCAAUCUGUCCUGUGCUGCGUGGGCCCUGCGUUCAUCCCCUCUGCUCCUGGCACUAUUGACUCCACAUUUGCUUUCAUUCUGCUGUAAAAUGAAGGCAGCUCCAGCUACAGCAGCGGUUUUAUUCUUCCUGAAUAUAAUGCCUUUAUGAAAAUAAAAUCAAAAGUGAGUUGGGACCGGAAAGGUUUAAUUAAAAAGCUUCAGGGGGGAAUAAGAAAUCUGUUAGGAAACCUCUGCGGACGUUCAGCAAGUUCUCCCUGCAGAGAAGCAGCCUGAAGGGAGCUGCAGUGUCUGCCUGUGCCCUGCUGGUGGGAAGGGAUGAGAGGUGCAGUGAAGCUGGGAGCAGCCCAGGUCAGGUGCUUGCCUUUCCCACUGCUGCACCAAAAGCAGCCAUAACCACAAAGACCCCACCUCCUAUUCCCUCAUACCCCUCGGGGAAAGGAUAGGAACUGCUUUCUUGGCCAGGCUGAAGCUGACAUCCGCCAGUCCCAAUGCCUGAUCAAUGCAAACCAAUGGACUUUUCCCAUCAGAACACGUCCUUUUUUUUCCAGCAGGAUGCCGAGUUCUCAGACAAAUGAAGGCUCCGUUUGGCAGCGGAUAGAAAACAGGAAUAUUUGUCUUUAUUCCGAGACUGAAUUUUUGUGGCUAAGCUGCACCAAAAAUACAUCUUCCCCCCCCACCUCUCCCAGACAUGAGACACCAUUGAAUGCUGAAAGCAACUCUUCCCUGCCACAAAUGGACCAAAUAAACCCAGCACGAGACCGGUGCUUAGCAGAAACCAGAUGCGCCUCUAAUGCUGUCGUCUACAGCAAGCUGCGUCUGCAAACUGAUCUUUUAUUAAUGUGUGUGCACGGGUGGGAGAGCUGGGAGAGUCCCAGCGCCGGGAGCACAACGUGCCAUCGCCCCGUGCCCAUGGGCUGCCUUAUGGCUCCCAAAGGGCAUCGCUGCGGGGUUACCCAAAGCCCCUCCGGACCCAGCAUUCGGGAUUUGCAGCAUUUGGCCUCGGUUUACCCCGAGCUGCACCAUGGAGGUGGGUUUUGGAGGGGUUCUCGGCGUGUUCUGUGGCUGCAGGAGGAGAAGGAGCUGUUAGUUGGUGCUGGCAGCUGAGAUGGGUGAGGUGAUCCAGGACGCUCCCCCCAUCCGCGUGGCUGGAUGUGCCCUCACCUGGGAGCUGGGCAGCUGUUGGAAGCACCAGAAAGGGCUUUCCCCCCCCCUGGUCUGCCCAGUUCAGGCUCUGUGUCUCUAUUUCCACGCACCUCAGGAGCAGCCACUUUCCAGAGCUCACGCAGCCUCACCAGUAGGCAAAGAGACCUGUAAAUCCUGGGAGAAAUAUGGAGAAACCACCAUUAAACAGCAGGCAGAGUCUGCGAGAGGUGUGGCAGGGCAGAGAAGCAACAAAACAGGCUUUUUCUCCCCAAUUCCCCCUCAUUUCCACACUUUCCCCAGAGGCCCUUCCAACCCAAGCUGUUCCAUGACUCUCUCUCGUGUCAUCCAUCCCACCUGGUCUGGCUCUGCAGCAGCGUUAGGUGGCGCGAGGCUCAGAGCCUUCCUCCCUCCUGGACUCCUCUUCCUCUCCCUCGGGGUGCCUGAGGAUGGAAAACAUGGGCUGAGCCUGGACCGGGCUACACUGGGAGCAUCUGAACCCAUUUGGCUUUCCAAAUGGAAGGUGCUAACUUCCACAGCAUGGCAAUGAAGGAGCUGCGCCCUCACCAUCACCCAAACCCACCUUUUCUCCAUGUUUUCCCCAUAUUUUCCCCAAGUUUUCCCCAUGUUUUCCCCAUGUUUUCCCCCAGCUCUGCUCAGCUGAAGCCCCACGAGGCUCUGCUGCAGCACAGUUUGGCCUGGAAUAUGCUGAUUUUAGCCAACACAUCUUUUUUUUUUUUUUUUCCUUUCUUUCUUUUUUCUUCUUUUUUUUUGCCAGGAAAUAAAUAAAUCAUACAAUUCCUCAUCGCUUCCUUCCAGCAUCCCUCCCUUUAUCACGGCGCGUCCUUCCCUCGGGCUUUGGAAUUGGGUCAGUGAGCAGAACCCGGCGGCAGCGGCUGCUUCCCAGCGAUGUUCAUAGAAAGCUGCUGCAGCCCCCGAGUGCUUUGGGGUGGAGGAUUCACCUUUUGGGUCCCAUCCCAUUGGUGGGAGCCGGGGCAGAGCAGGGAGCAGUGUGACGCCGUGAUUUGCACUGCUGCUCCACUUCCGCGUGGUCACCCGGUGGUGAGCAGUGGGAUCAAGGGGGAUUUGCGCCUUGGGGACCUAACAUUGGCCGCCCCCUCCAAGGUUGGGCUACCCAAACCAGCAGAGAGCCCGGAGCAGGGCUGAACCCUCCCCCACCCCAUGCACCCCAUGGCUCCUCCAGCUGUGAUGCGUCUCCUUCCCAUUGCAAGAACUGGGGGUCACUUCCAGUACCUCACUCAAAAACCAGAGGAGAAGGCUGGGACUUGCUCUGAGUCACUGGCAUGUUGUUACCAAGGACACUAAGGUUCCCAGUUUUGAAGAAGAGAUUAAUUACCCUCUGCAAAUAGACAUUUUAUCUGCAUUAAAGAGCAGCAAGAGCUGAUUCUUUUGGCGUAGCUCAUUAUGUAGCAGCAGGUAGUAUUGUGACAGAUGUAGGAAUCCAGUGGCAUUGUCACUUG